GAUGAACGCUGGCGGCGUGCCUAAUACAUGCAAGUCGAGCGAAUGGAUUAAGAGCUUGCUCUUAUGAAGUUAGCGGCGGACGGGUGAGUAACACGUGGGUAACCUGCCCAUAAGACUGGGAUAACUCCAGGAAAACGGGGCUAAUACCGGAUAACAUUUUGAAGAGCAUGGUUCGAAAUCGAAAGGCGGCUUCGGCUGUAACUUAUGGAUGGACCCGCGUGUCAUUAGCUAGUUGGUGAGGUAACGGCUCACCAAGGCAACGAGGCGUAGCCGACCUGAGAGGGUGAUCGGCCACACUGGGACUGAGACACGGCCCAGACUCCUACGGGAGGCAGCAGUAGGGAAUCUUCCGCAAUGGACGAAAGUCUGACGGAGCAACGCCGCGUGAGUGAUGAAGGCUUUCGGGUCGUAAAACUCUGUUGUUAGGGAAGAACAAGUGCUAGUUGAAUAAGCUGGCACCUUGACGGUACCUAACCAGAAAGCCACGGCUAACUACGUGCCAGCCGCCGCGGUAA
RNAcentral lists this ribosomal RNA (515 nucleotides) under uncultured bacterium. RNAcentral describes it as "partial 16S ribosomal RNA". It matches the Rfam family "Bacterial small subunit ribosomal RNA", at positions 28 to 523 of the family's 1533-position model. The record is from RNAcentral.